RNAcentral lists this transfer RNA (70 nucleotides) under Marmota monax (woodchuck). RNAcentral describes it as "tRNA.Asp". The stretch from base 6 to 66 matches the Rfam family "tRNA", at positions 6 to 65 of the family's 71-position model. Rfam says of the family: Transfer RNA (tRNA) molecules are approximately 80 nucleotides in length. Lineage: Eukaryota; Metazoa; Chordata; Mammalia; Rodentia; Sciuridae. The record is from RNAcentral.
GCAGAUGUAGCUCAGUGGUAGAGCACUUGUCUGUCAUGCAGGAGGCCCAUGGUUCAAUCCCAUCCACCCA